RNAcentral lists this unclassified non-coding RNA (336 nucleotides) under soil metagenome. Its description in RNAcentral is "partial contains 5.8S ribosomal RNA, internal transcribed spacer 2, and large subunit ribosomal RNA". The stretch from base 1 to 120 matches the Rfam family "5.8S ribosomal RNA", at positions 35 to 154 of the family's 154-position model. The record is from RNAcentral.
GAUGAAGAACGUAGCGAAAUGCGAUAAGUAAUGUGAAUUGCAGAAUUCCGUGAAUCAUCGAAUCUUUGAACGCAUAUUGCGCCCUCUGGUAUUCCGGAGGGCAUGCCUGUCCGAGCGUCAUUUCAACCAUCAAGCUCCCGGGCUUGCGUUGGGGCCCUGCGGCUGCCGCAGGCCCCUAAAACCAGUGGCGGGCUCGCUGUCACACCGAGCGCAGUAGCAUUUCUUCGCUCUGGGCGCGGCGGCGGGCGCUUGCCGUAAAACAUACCACUUUGUAAAGGUUGACCUCGGAUCAGGUAGGAAUACCCGCUGAACUUAAGCAUAUCAAUAAGCGGAGGA